Molecule: long non-coding RNA, 1658 nt
Filed under: Vulpes vulpes (red fox)
Lineage: Eukaryota; Metazoa; Chordata; Mammalia; Carnivora; Canidae
Description: lncRNA (ENSVVUG00000017675.1)
Source: RNAcentral
UGGAGAACCGUUCUGUCUCUGGAAUGGCUACUUCCUUUAAAAUGUGGAGCUCAAACUUCCAUUGAAUUGCUUCUCCUCAUGUGCUCGUCUCAAGUAAUCAGAUGUGUGUUGUGCAUGGUGUAUGUGGUACGUGGUAUGUGGUGUGUGGUGUGUGUGGUGCAUGUGGUCGUGUGUGUGAUGUGUGUGGUAUGGUUGUUACAUGGUGUGUGUAGUGUGUAAUGUGUGUGAUGUGUGUGAUGAGUGUGAUGUCUGUGUGUGCAGUGUAUAUGUGUGGUGUGUGUGUGAUGUGUGUGGUUUGCAUGGUGUACAGUCUGUGUGGUGUGGUGUGUGAUAUGUGCAGUGUGUUCUGGGGGUGGCAUGCAAGGUGUAUGAUGUACGUGUGUGUGCAUGUGUGUGCUGUGUGUGUAAUGCAUGUGGCAUGUGGUAUAUGGUGUAUGGUGUUUGUGGGGUGUGAACAGUGUGUGUGUUGUGUGUAAGUCCUCUCUCUCUGCUGCACACAGAGGCCGCCACUGUAUUGGUGCCCUCGGGGCAUCUGGAUCAGACCUCAGCCAUGUGGACACCGGCCCAGCCUGCAGGCUCCCCAGGCGAGUAAGCCUCAGUAUCCCCCCAGGGCCGGCUCCCCAUGCUGCCCCGCGAGAAUGCUCUCCUGUCUGAUUCUCAGACAACUCUUGGCUGGUCUUGGUCCAUUUCUGUGCCUCGUUCUGCAUGAGGACGUACUUUGGCUCUAAUCCUAAGUGGAGCAGGAGAGAGCGGAGGGCGGAAGUCCCCUGAGCAGCUGAGGUGUCUUCUGCCCAGAUGCCUCCUUCAUGCGGUGCUUGCAGGACGUGCUUGAGCCCAGGAAGCCCAGCUGACCCUUCAGAGGUCGCUGUCCCCAUGCCGAUCGGAGACAGCUAGCUGGCAUUUGCCAGAGGACCAACUUUAGAAACGGAGCCCAACAGGGACAGCCCUGCAGGGUCCUGCCAAGUGCAGGACUUCAAUCAUAAUCAGAUUGUUAAUGUGGCUGUUCACUGAAUCGUUGAUAAAAACAAGGCUGACUCUGUCUGGGAGACUCGGCCCUCCGGGUUGCGCCAGGAAAGCUUGUCGUCGCCCUGAGAAGACCGCUUAUCUUGCAGAAUGGAUACAUGUUGGAACACCAAAAGGACUUGAAGAUCAGCAACAAAUGUGUACAGAAGGACCCUGGGCUCAGUGCCUCUUUCUUCAUCAGGGAAAACCUUCCCGAGUCAUCAAAAUGAGGACUUGCAUAAUGAAUUUGCACCAUUCCUCGCCGCAGAAUGCAGGGAGGGAUUUGUAGAUGCUCGAUGAACUGGCGCCUGCAGACUCGCGUCCAAGUGGUAUCUCUGCGCCUCCCUGAGUCUGAUGUGUGGGUGGCGUGGCGCUGGACGUCGUUGAGCAUUUCAGGUCUCCCUCCUGCGAGCCUGGCACCCACAAGCAGCAGUGCUGAGUGUUCCUUUACAAGGAAUGUGUGGGUAACAGCCCGAUACAGGUCUCCUUCACCCAAAGCACCGUGUGCUGUUCAUCUGCAUUUCAGUUGUAUUUUCCACCUGCUAGCACCUUAGAGUCUGGGAGGCCAUGCACUUCCAUGUUGGUCUAAUCCUAAGCUGCUGUUACGCCGCAGAGAAGGGCAGUUUUGUCCGUCGUUUUAACCCCUCACCGUUUCC